GCUGCCCGCAUGUGUCGCUGACGUCGUCAGCACCAUGCCAGCAGCCAGGGUCUCCAGGCUGCCGCGGGGUUUCCCCGUGCGACCCGAACCCGUCCGCCAUCGCAUCGAGUCCGCGGACAAGCGUCUUCGCGACG
This 134-nucleotide non-coding RNA is filed under the name Pseudomonas citronellolis. RNAcentral's name for it is "radC RNA". It matches the Rfam family "radC RNA". The record is from RNAcentral. Lineage: Bacteria; Pseudomonadati; Pseudomonadota; Gammaproteobacteria; Pseudomonadales; Pseudomonadaceae.